CAGCAGCAGCCGCGGUAAUACGAAGGGUGCAAGCGUUACUCGGAAUUACUGGGCGUAAAGCGUGCGUAGGUGGUGGUUUAAGUCCGUUGUGAAAGCCCUGGGCUCAACCUGGGAAUUGCAGCGGAUACUGGGUCACUAGAGUGUGGUAGAGGAUAGUGGAAUUUCCGGUGUAGCAGUGAAAUGCGUAGAGAUCGGAAGGAACAUCUGUGGCGAAGGCGACUAUCUGGGCCAACACUGACACUGAGGCACGAAAGCGUGGGGAGCAAACAGGAUUAGAUACCCGCGUAGUCCCUGUCUCUUAUAC
Molecule: ribosomal RNA, 304 nt
Filed under: uncultured bacterium
Lineage: Bacteria
Description: partial 16S ribosomal RNA
Rfam family: Bacterial small subunit ribosomal RNA
Source: RNAcentral